CGUCUCACCAGAGUAGGGAUGCUCUUCCGCUUCUCCUUAGUGCUGCCUCCAAACCAAUGCACCAUCACCAACCAAGUCUCCUCUCGGAAGAACGCGUUUGUGAAGAAGACAUUCUAUCUGGAUGAAGCAACUACAGAAGUGCAGGCAAGACAUUGUGCUGCCGUCGCUGAGUGUGGCUUAAAUAAAAAAGCAUGUUUAUGUGGGAGAGAAUGUGUGGGGGUUGCUUUCGCAUUAUGGAAUUCUUAAAAUUGUUGAACCGGCAAGAUGUUAUUCAGAAACCCCUGGUGGCUUCAGCUUGUUUUUUGUUUAUUUCAGGUUUCUUUUUUCCCCCAUUUUUAAUUAUCUCUGGAAAAACUCAAGAGUCCUCCCCUGCUCCUAAAAUAGUUAUAAAAUUAAUGUGCUGUACUCAAGUCGUUACUCCACGUAAAAGAGUAAAAGACUCCCAUAUUAA
Molecule: small RNA, 451 nt
Filed under: Pan troglodytes (chimpanzee)
Lineage: Eukaryota; Metazoa; Chordata; Mammalia; Primates; Hominidae
Description: retained intron
Source: RNAcentral